RNAcentral lists this long non-coding RNA (2803 nucleotides) under Gallus gallus (chicken). RNAcentral's name for it is "lncRNA (ENSGALG00010001665.1)". The record is from RNAcentral. Lineage: Eukaryota; Metazoa; Chordata; Aves; Galliformes; Phasianidae.
CUCCCACGCCCCAGCGGCCUCAUUUCCACGGAAGAAGCACAAUGCACUCUGAGCUCUAAAUAAAACCCUUUCACAGUUGCCCUGAAGUUAUUUUCUAGGCUUCCAUCCCUCCCCCUCUGCCCCCUCUCGGGUAUGUGGUGCUCUCCCGGCGGCUGACCUUCGCACCCAGCACUCAGGACCCGGUUGUUGUCCUUUGGAGGGGCCGCGGCAGACGGGGGCGGGCGGUUGGCAAACAGGACAUUGGCCUCCAGCACUUGGCGAUAAACGCGGCGGCACUGAUGGUGUCUUAGGGCAGUGCUCGGCACGGCGCUGGCACUGCUUUGUCCCGCUCCCGUCGACCGUACCCAGAGCUCUGCUCCCCCCGAGCCUGCCCACGGCCGGGCACUGCGCGGGGCCACGUGUGUAGGGCGAGGUGUGAGCCCGGCUGCCGGACAUGGGCAGCAGUGCGCCUCGAGCAGCGCGUGCCGCUGGGAGUGAGCGUGCGGGUUGGAGCUCCGUGAGUCACCGGUGGGCGCGUUGGGCAAUCUUCUGUUUCCCAAUCUGUUUCCCUUCGCAGGAAUCCAGCCCUCGCUCUGCCUUCAGCACGGCCAAGCCCAGCCCCGCCGCCGCUCUGUGCACGCACGCUUCUCCCUGCCUGCAGACACGUUACGGCAGUGCCCCGGGCACACAGUCCUCCCCCGGCAGCACAGACAUCCGCGGCCGUGUGAGCCGUGCUGAGGUCUCCUGCUUUCCGAGGGGCACCGACUCACGGUGCCGACGGGCAGGACUCGAUGGAGAGCUGGCAGCUGGUUCAGGCGUGCUGUGACAGCCUCUCAGCAAUCAGACAGCACCACUCGCAGCUCGGUUUGAGAUGGGAACAGGAAGAAAUGUGUCAACACUUUCAUGUCUCUGCAUGUCGGAGCAGCGUGCCUGGCCAGGGCUGUGUGCUGCGGGCACACGUGUCACGGGCAGCACCAGGGCUGUGUGUGGGGCCGCGCUCUGCUGCGCAGGGCUAUGAGCCCGAGCCCCACAGCACUGCAGGGGCCCCUCGGCACCGCUGUGUGCAGACACUGCCGCAUCCCAGCAGGGCAGGCCAUGAUCUGACCCCCUGUGCAGGCUCUGUGAACAUGGCAGUGUGCCCCGAGGUCCCCACACACCGUGUGGCUGUGAUUAAAAACAGGCUGUGUGCAAACCAUGUGGGGCUUUGUGUUAAUUAAGUGUUGCCUCGUAAGGUGCGUGCUGGGAUACAGAGGUGCAGGAGUGGGGCUGAUGGCAAAAUGAGCUGCUGAUCAAAGAGCUGCUCAGUGCUGGGGGGCCGGGUUGGGGAGGGCCUCGCUGGGGUCCAGGUCCCCACUGCAGCCCCACAGUCAAAGCACGGAGCUACAGCCCCACACCGAGCAGCCCUGCUCUGUUCCUCAGCCCCGUCCCUGCAGCACCGCCGCUGCUAACACAGCUCUCUUGUUAAGUCGGGACAGUUCUGGAGAUGAGGCACACGAGGCAGUACUCAGCUCUGGGUGCUGGGGCUGCCAGGCGCUGCUGGCUUUGCCCACAGCCCCGGUUCGUGUCCGUGAUGGGAUAUCCAUACUUUCUUCCCUAUGCACGGGAGCGUUUUACAGAGAAAUGCUGUCAGCAUUCUGAGGGGCUGCUGCAUUCCAGCAUCUCAGUUUUAACACCACUCAGUGUGAAAACAUGAACAUUUUGACUCCAACUACGGAAUGACAAAUGUGAGCGCCAGACAUCUGCCACUCAUUUCAGAAUGUCACCAUUCCCCACAGCGCAGCAGUGCUGGCACGGGGCUGCGUGGGGCCCCAGGGCGGUGCUGCUCCUUUGCCCCAUCCCUGCCCGCAGUGGGGAAUCCCAGCAGGAAAUGGCCAUUCACACUGCAGUGUGUGUGCCCGGGUCAGCAGCUCGGCUCACCCAGCAGCCACAGUGCUGUUUGCAGAGCUCUUCGUGCACAACAGCUGCGUCUGCUGAGCAGCAAACUGCGUGGGAAAGAACUUCGAUAAAUAAAAAGUUAUUAAAUGUAAACAAAGGCUGUGCAGGAACGGCUGAAGGUUCAAAAGUUGUGACCGUCAUGGACAACUUUUGUCAUCCCUUGGGAAACAACUGGGACUUCUCAAGAGUAAGAAUUGCUUUCCUUCCCUGCAGGCCCACCUGCGCUCACUUCCCUCUGGCUGCAGCCACGUGCAGACAGAGCUGUGCACACCUGGGAGCUGCACAGGGGCACGGGGCUGCCUGGAAGGACCUCCUCCUGCAGCACUCCUCCAUGUGGGAGAGGAGGAGAUGAGCAGCACUGCAGUGGUGUGGCAGCACCCAGCACGGCGUGCACUGCUGUCUGCUCUGCUCAUUGGAGUUGGUUCCUGCCGGCUGUGGUCAGGAUGGGGCCCACAUUGCCCUGCACUGCUGCAGGAAGGAGCUGGCAGCAGAGGCCCCAGCAUGGUUUGCAGGGAGGAAACCAAAGCAUGUGGCUGCGCAGCUCGCAGCACAGCACAGGGCAACAUGCUUGAGCAGCAGGCUAAUAGCCACGGCCAGCAGCGUGCCCUCAGUGCAUGGAGGGCUGUCGCAUCCCUUCCCCUGCGUGACACUCCGCAUUUGCUCUGCAGUGAAGCAUGGGUUAGAAGGCUGAGCCACCCAAUGCAGGUCACUGCAGCAGUGCCGUGCGCCACAGGGAAUGCCACGAGUGCUGCCCCGUCACUGCGCUCCGCAUCCUGCGCUGCUCUGCAAAAACGAGAGCCCCAGCACAGCCCCGGACCCACACAGCCCACUGCUCACCCCAAGGCUGUGUGUUCCCCAGUGGGACCGUGGCGUGGAAGAGCCCAUCUUU